UAAGAUUAUAGUAUCGGCCCGUGCGAAC
RNAcentral lists this small RNA (28 nucleotides) under Bombyx mori (domestic silkworm). RNAcentral's name for it is "ovarian small RNA-5756". The record is from RNAcentral. Lineage: Eukaryota; Metazoa; Arthropoda; Insecta; Lepidoptera; Bombycidae.